AUGAAAUCGUGGCGAAGCUUGGUGGUGGUCCGCUCGGAUCUGAAUGGAAGAGCUCGCGGUGUUUGGAGGGUGUUUUUGGUGUGGGUCGAUUCGCUGACAGUGGCGAAGCUUGGCCAUGGUGGGAUCUGGUUCUAUGACGGAGGAGUUGCAGAGGUAGUCGCGGGUUGCCUGAGCUCCGCUGAAGGAAACAACGCAGUGGUCGCGUGCGGACGGGGAGGCAGUUUAUCGUGGAGGAGGUUGAUGACGUUUCUGCCGAUCAGAUGGGCCGUUGCAAGCAAUCUGCAGUGGAGUUGUUGUAACAUUAUUGUUGAUGUUGAUGAUGGCGGUUGA
Molecule: non-coding RNA, 330 nt
Organism: Vicia faba (fava bean)
Lineage: Eukaryota; Viridiplantae; Streptophyta; Magnoliopsida; Fabales; Fabaceae
Source: the annotation of a GenBank genome assembly